This 821-nucleotide ribosomal RNA is filed under the name uncultured bacterium. RNAcentral describes it as "bacterial SSU rRNA". It matches the Rfam family "Bacterial small subunit ribosomal RNA", at positions 8 to 810 of the family's 1533-position model. The record is from RNAcentral.
AGAGUUUGAUCAUGGCUCAGAAUCAACGCUGGCGGCGUGCCUAACACAUGCAAGUUGAGCGCUUAAGGGGGGCAACCCCCAAGAGAGCAGCGAACGGGUGAGUAACGCGUGGGUGAUCUUCCUUCGAGUGGGGAACAACAUCGGGAAACUGGUGCUAAUUCCGCAUAACACCUCAGGACUAAGAGUCUUGAGAUCAAAGCCGGGGACCGUAAGGCCUGGCGCUUGAAGAUGAGCCCGCGUCCGAUUAGCUAGUUGGCGGGGUAAUGGCCCACCAAGGCUUCGAUCGGUAGCCGGCCUGAGAGGGCGGACGGCCACACUGGAACUGAGACACGGUCCAGACUCCUACGGGAGGCAGCAGUGGGGAAUUUUUCGCAAUGGGCGCAAGCCUGACGAAGCAACGCCGCGUGGAGGAUGAAGGUCUUCGGAUUGUAAACUCCUGUCGACCGGGACGAAUGCACCCGACCUAAUACGUCGAAGUGUUGACGGUACCGGUGGAGGAAGCCACGGCUAACUCUGUGCCAGCAGCCGCGGUAAUACAGAGGUGGCAAGCGUUGUUCGGAAUUACUGGGCGUAAAGGGCGCGUAGGCGGCCUUAUAAGUCUCGUGUGAAAGCCCUCGGCUUAACUGAGGAUCUGCACGGGAUACUGUAAGGCUUGAGUUCGGGAGAGGAAAGCGGAAUUCCGGGUGUAGCGGUGAAAUGCGUAGAUAUCCGGAGGAACACCAGUGGCGAAGGCGGCUUUCUGGACCGACACUGACGCUGAGGCGCGAAAGCUAGGGGAGCAAACGGGAUUAGAUACCCCGGUAGUCCUAGCUGUAAACGAU